Long non-coding RNA from Podarcis raffonei (Aeolian wall lizard), 930 nucleotides. RefSeq lists it as uncharacterized. NCBI's taxonomy places the organism in Eukaryota, Metazoa, Chordata, Lepidosauria, Squamata, Lacertidae. The transcript is spliced from 4 exons. The record is from RefSeq and is a predicted model, not a curated record.
GUGGCAAGAAUGUUCUAGAAGUGUGCUUGGCAGGCCAAACAUCAGAUCUCUUUAAGCUCUCUGCCCUCUUAUCUCAAGGAACCCUUUCAGUUCCCAUUUACCUGCUUCCACAAACGGCAAGAACCAAGGGAGCCCUCCACCCCACCAAACCAGAAAUAGGCAGGUGAAGAAAACUGACAAAGAAACGGGGAAGAGCCGUGAGCCCAAAAGUGAUGAAGCAACAGUUUUUCUAAUCGAACGAACUGAGGCCUUCAUCCUGCAAACCCCAAGUGUGAGUGCUCCCCAUUAUCAACCUCAAUCUGGACAUGGGCAUGAGGUUCCAGUGAGGAAUGAUUUAAUGUUGAGGAGGAGGAGAGAAGGAAGAAGAUUAUUAAACAAGAAAAAAUAACUGGCCAGGAGACCAUCUGAGCAAAGCUACACAACAAAGCAAUCAAGACCAGACACGGAAGCAGGAACAGCAGCAACAAAGGGGAAAGGCUGAGAAAUGUCACGUGGGAAAGAAAGAACAAAUGUACCCCAAAGAGAAGCAGAAGAAGCAGCUGAAGCCAAGGCCAAAUUACCAGCAGUCAAGCUGAAGGCAUCAGAAGCCAGUACAGGGCCAAAGACGGAAACAGCAAAAGAGGCAAGGUCUGACGCAAUAGGCAGAGCCGCAGAGAAGGUGGCAAGAUCACAAAUUGCAUUGGUUUUGCAAUCGGCAAAAGCAGAGCUGAGGCACAGAAGAAGAAAUCCAAGCUUGAGACAAAAGGAUACUCUUCUGAACAACUUGGAGGAAAAUGGAAUAAAUGAGACUGAAAUGCAAUGAAGGCAGAAUGUGAUCAGUAGAUCCAUGGUAUGUAGUGGGAACAAGUGGACCUUCUUUGCGUAAUAGCAAAUCACACCCAUUAAUGGUGUGUCUUCCUUGGGAAACAUCAAUAAACAUUGAUCAAUAAA